Molecule: transfer RNA, 64 nt
Filed under: human gut metagenome
Also listed under: 1 other name
Rfam family: tRNA
About the family: Transfer RNA (tRNA) molecules are approximately 80 nucleotides in length. Their secondary structure includes four short double-helical elements and three loops (D, anti-codon, and T loops).
Source: RNAcentral
UCUGUAGCUCAGUUGGUAGAGCAGGGGACUGAAAAUCCCCGUGUCGAUGGUUCGAUUCCGUCCG